This 194-nucleotide ribosomal RNA is filed under the name uncultured Pseudomonas sp. RNAcentral's name for it is "partial 16S ribosomal RNA". It matches the Rfam family "Bacterial small subunit ribosomal RNA", at positions 338 to 524 of the family's 1533-position model. Lineage: Bacteria; Pseudomonadati; Pseudomonadota; Gammaproteobacteria; Pseudomonadales; Pseudomonadaceae. The record is from RNAcentral.
CCUACGGGAGGCAGCAGUGGGGAAUAUUGGACAAUGGGCGAAAGCCUGAUCCAGCCAUGCCGCGUGUGUGAAGAAGGUCUUCGGAUUGUAAAGCACUUUAAGUUGGGAGGAAGGGCAUUAACCUAAUACGUUAGUGUCUUGACGUUACCGACAGAAUAAGCACCGGCUAACUCUGUGCCAGCAGCCGCGGUAAU